RNAcentral lists this transfer RNA (71 nucleotides) under Zahniserius cylindricus. Its description in RNAcentral is "tRNA-Trp". The record is from RNAcentral. Lineage: Eukaryota; Metazoa; Arthropoda; Insecta; Hemiptera; Cicadellidae.
AAGACUUUAAGUUAAGAUAAAACUCGUAACCUUCAAAGUUAUAAAUAUCUAAGAUUUGUAGAUAAGUCUUA